UCUGCCUCUGCCUCUUCCUCUGCCUCUGCCUCUGCCUCUGCCUCUGCCUCCUGAGUGCUGGGAUUUCAGGCACGCACAGGAGAGUGUUCUUCACUUCAACCUGGAGGUCCUUCACGCUAGUCAGCUAGUCAGCAGCCCUGCAGCUCCACAUCCUUCUGCGAAGCAGAAGCCGAGUGUGGUAAAAACCAGGGUAGUCAUCUGCUGGGUGUGUGACUGGGCCGGUGGCCUCCCCCUCUGUGCCUAUUUUCUCAUCUGUCCAAUAGAGGCAAUAAAAUCUCC
RNAcentral lists this long non-coding RNA (279 nucleotides) under Cricetulus griseus (Chinese hamster). Its description in RNAcentral is "lncRNA (ENSCGRG00015034472.1)". Lineage: Eukaryota; Metazoa; Chordata; Mammalia; Rodentia; Cricetidae. The record is from RNAcentral.